UCCGAUUUAAAUAUCGGCAGUCUCGCUAGAGUGCCCGGCCGAACCGCUGGCAACUAACGAUAGGGGUUGCGCUCGUUGCGGGACUUAACCCAACAACUCACGACACGAGCUGACGACAGCCAUGCACCACCUGUACACCGGCCCCGAAGGGCUGCCGUAUUUCUACGGCAUUCCAGUGCAUGUCAAGCCUUGGUAAGGUUCUUCGCGUCGCGUCGAAUUAAACCACAUGCUCCGCUGCUUGUGCGGGUCCCCGUCAAUUCCUUUGAGUUUUAAUCUUGCGACCGUACUCCCCAGGCGGACGACUUCACGCGUUAGCUGCGUUACUAAGGGAUUUAACUCCCCCAACAACUAGUCGUCAUCGUUUAGGGCGUGGACUAC
RNAcentral lists this unclassified non-coding RNA (378 nucleotides) under uncultured bacterium. Its description in RNAcentral is "contains 16S-23S intergenic spacer region". The record is from RNAcentral.